Molecule: long non-coding RNA, 517 nt
Filed under: Helianthus annuus (common sunflower)
Lineage: Eukaryota; Viridiplantae; Streptophyta; Magnoliopsida; Asterales; Asteraceae
Description: sRNA HanXRQr2_Chr01g0032371
Source: RNAcentral
GAUUCAUUUUCCGGGAUCAAUAUAUCCAAAGAAUGUCUAAGUGCCGCCCAUAUUGGGUUAUGCUUUGUCGUUUGUCGAUAAUUCGAUAAAUGAGUUGAAGCAUUAUACUUUGUCGUUUGUCGAUAAUUCGAUAAAUGAGUUGAAGUAUUAUACUUUGUCGUUUGUCGUUAAUACGAUAAAUGAGUUGAAGUAUUGCACUUUGUCAUUCAUUGUGAGAAUUUGAUCUCGUGAGUUAUCGUAAAAGCUGUAUUGAUCAUUAACCCAGUUUUGUGUGCAUCCUUUCCUAAAUUAGGAUUAUUAGUCUUAAUACACUUACAAUCAAAGUAGAUGCUAAUUCUCAGAAGAAUCUGAACCAUGAAGCUUGUUAAUUCAAAUACUGCAUGCUGAUUUGUGAUUACAGUAGAUUGGAGUAAGGAUUGGAUCCGGCACUAAAAGACUUCAAGAAGUGGCUUAUUUUAUUAAUUAAAUCAAAUUAAGAAAUAUUGUUUUUAUUAAAAGCUACCUUUGUAAAACUUAG